GAGUUUGAUCUUGGCUCAGAUUGAACGCUGGCGGCAUGCCUUACACAUGCAAGUCGAACGGCAGCACGGGGGCAACCCUGGUGGCGAGUGGCGAACGGGUGAGUAAUGCAUCGGAACGUGUCCUCUUGUGGGGGAUAACCAGUCGAAAGACUGGCUAAUACCGCAUGAGAUCGAGAGAUGAAAGCAGGGGACCCGCAAGGGCCUUGCGCGAGAGGAGCGGCCGAUGCCCGAUUAGCUAGUUGGUGGGGUAAAGGCCCACCAAGGCGACGAUCGGUAGCUGGUCUGAGAGGACGGGCCAGCCACACUGGGACUGAGACACGGCCCAGACUCCUACGGGAGGCAGCAGUGGGGAAUUUUGGACAAUGGGGGAAACCCUGAUCCAGCCAUGCCGCGUGUGCGAAGAAGGCCUCGGUUGU
Molecule: ribosomal RNA, 416 nt
Filed under: uncultured beta proteobacterium
Lineage: Bacteria; Pseudomonadati; Pseudomonadota; Betaproteobacteria
Description: bacterial SSU rRNA
Rfam family: Bacterial small subunit ribosomal RNA
Source: RNAcentral